UAGUCAUACGCUCGUCUCAAAGAUUAAGCCAUGCAUGUCUAAGUACAAGCACUUGUACUGUGAAACUGCGAAUGGCUCAUUAUAUCAGUUAUAGUUUAUUUGAUAGAUGCCCACUACAUGGAUAACCGUAGUAAUUCUAGAGCUAAUACAUGCAAGAAAGCCCGACUUCACGGAAGGGCUGUAUUUAUUAGAUAUAAACCAUCUCGGGACUUGUCCCGGUGUUGUGGUGAGUCAUAAUAACUAAGCGAAUCGCAUUGGCUUCGGCUGGCGAUGAAUC
Molecule: ribosomal RNA, 277 nt
Filed under: uncultured eukaryote
Lineage: Eukaryota
Description: partial 18S ribosomal RNA
Rfam family: Eukaryotic small subunit ribosomal RNA
Source: RNAcentral